GAUGAAGAACGUAGCGAAAUGCGAUAAGUAAUGUGAAUUGCAGAAUUCCGUGAAUCAUCGAAUCUUUGAACGCACAUUGCGCCCCCUGGUAUUCCGGGGGGCAUGCCUGUCCGAGCGUCAUUGCUGCCCUCAAGCACGGCUUGUGUGUUGGGCCCCGUCCUCCGAUCCCGGGGGACGGGCCCGAAAGGCAGCGGCGGCACCGCGUCCGGUCCUCGAGCGUAUGGGGCUUUGUCACCCGCUCUGUAGGCCCGGCCGGCGCUUGCCGAUCAACCCAAAUUUUUAUCCAGGUUGACCUCGGAUCAGGUAGGGAUACCCGCUGAACUUAAGCAUAUCAAUAAGCGGAGGA
This 346-nucleotide unclassified non-coding RNA is filed under the name soil metagenome. RNAcentral's name for it is "partial contains 5.8S ribosomal RNA, internal transcribed spacer 2, and large subunit ribosomal RNA". The stretch from base 1 to 120 matches the Rfam family "5.8S ribosomal RNA", at positions 35 to 154 of the family's 154-position model. The record is from RNAcentral.